CAAUAGCGUAUAUUAAAGUUGUUGCGGUAAAAAAGCUCGUAGUUGGAUUUCUACCGAAGAUAGCCGGUCGGGUCUUCGACCUUGUAUCUGGUUUUGUCUUUGGUAUCCUCAUAGGGAACGUUUCUGCGCUUUAUUGCGUGGUGCGGUAUCUAUGACUUUUACUUUGAGGAAAUUAGAGUGUUCACGGCAGGCAAACGCCUUGAAUAUAUAGCAUGGAAUAAUAACAUAGGAUCUUCGUCCUAUUUUGUUGGUUUCUAGGGCUAAGAUAAUGAUUAAUAGGGAUAAUUGGGGGCAUCUGUAUCAACGCGUCAGAGGUGGAAUUCUUGGAUUGCGUUGCGACAAACUACUGCGAAAGCAUUUGCCAAGGAUGUUUUCAUUGA
Molecule: ribosomal RNA, 380 nt
Filed under: uncultured eukaryote
Lineage: Eukaryota
Description: partial 18S ribosomal RNA
Rfam family: Eukaryotic small subunit ribosomal RNA
Source: RNAcentral